UAUUAAACAGCUUGAUUCUGGCUGUGGGUGCUUAGCUUUUUUAAAAUUUUAUACAUGACAAUUUAAUGUGUGCUAGUGAGGAUUUAUAUUAGUUGCUUAAAGUGAAAAAAAUAAGUUUUAAUGUUUUAUAAUGCUGGCUAAUUUUAGUACAUUUUCAGUAUAAAGUUUUAAACUAUAAGGGCGUAAGCCUGUUUUAGUUAUUAUUAUUAAGAAUUGGCAAAUUUUGUGCCAGCUGCUGCGGUUAUACAAGAGAUUCUAGUUAAGUUAAAAUGGCUUAAAAUGUGGUUAGUAAUAAUUUUUUAGAAAAAGAAGUUAAUGUUAAGUGGUAAAAUGUGUAAAUUAUUGUUGGUUUUUUUUUUUCAUAAUUUUUGUAUGAGGCCACGUGAGCUUUGGGUAAAAACUAGGAUUAGAGACCCUACUAUUCUUUUGUUUUAAUUUUUUUGUGCCGGGGUAUUAAAAGUGAUCUUUAAACCCAAAGAAUUUGGCGGUAUUUUAUUCUAUUUAGGGGAGCCUGCCCUAUAAGCGAUAAUCCACGUUUAAGUCUGCUCUUGUAUUUUUGUUUUUGCUUGUAUACUUCCGUUGUCAGCGUAUGUUUUUAAAUUGACUUAUACGCAAAAUAAAUUUUUGUUUUUGAUAUCAGGUCGACGUGCAGCGUUUACAAGAGAAGAGGUGGGCUACAUUAGGUUAGUUUUACAGUCGAUUAUUUGGAAGAGUAUUUGUAAGUUGGACUUAAUAGUAAUUUUUUGAUUAAAAAGCUAGUUUGAAAAAAGCUCUAAAAUGUGUACAAAUCGCCCGUCGCUCUUUCCGAUUAUGAGGUAAGAUAAGUCGUAACAUAGUAAGAGUAGCUGAAGCUGCUCUUAUAUU
This 864-nucleotide non-coding RNA is filed under the name Micrura bella. RNAcentral describes it as "12S ribosomal RNA". The stretch from base 448 to 860 matches the Rfam family "Microsporidia small subunit ribosomal RNA", at positions 751 to 1303 of the family's 1311-position model. The record is from RNAcentral. Lineage: Eukaryota; Metazoa; Nemertea; Pilidiophora; Heteronemertea; Lineidae.